RNAcentral lists this ribosomal RNA (427 nucleotides) under uncultured bacterium. Its description in RNAcentral is "bacterial SSU rRNA". It matches the Rfam family "Bacterial small subunit ribosomal RNA", at positions 355 to 796 of the family's 1533-position model. The record is from RNAcentral.
UAGGGAAUAUUGCACAAUGGGGGAAACCCUGAUGCAGCGACGCCGCGUGAGUGAUGAAGGCCUUCGGGUCGUAAAGCUCUGUUGUAUGGGAAGAAAAAAAUGACGGUACCAUAUCAGAAAGGACCGGCUAACUUCGUGCCAGCAGCCGCGGUAAUACGAGGGGUCCUAGCGUUGUUCGGAAUCAUUGGGCGUAAAGAGUAUGUAGGCGGCUAGAUAAGUCAGGUGUGAAAUCCCCGGGCUCAACCCGGGAAGUGCAUUUGAUACUGUUUAGCUUGAGUAUGGAAGAGGGUAGUGGAAUUCCUGGUGUAGUGGUGAAAUACGUAGAUAUCAGGAGGAACACCGGUGGCGAAGGCGGCUACCUGGUCCUAUACUGACGCUGAGAUACGAAAGCGUGGGGAGCAAACAGGAUUAGAUACCCCUGUAGUCC